AGAAUCAACGCUGGCGGCGUGCCUCAGACAUGCAAGUCGAACGAUUAAAGCUCUCUUCGGAGAGUGUAUAGAGUGGCGCACGGGUGAGUAACACGUAAGUAAUCUACCUUCGAGUGGGGAAUAACGUCCGGAAACGGACGCUAAUACCGCAUAAUGCAGCGGCAUCGCAAGACUGACA
This 178-nucleotide ribosomal RNA is filed under the name uncultured soil bacterium. RNAcentral's name for it is "partial 16S ribosomal RNA". It matches the Rfam family "Bacterial small subunit ribosomal RNA", at positions 26 to 203 of the family's 1533-position model. The record is from RNAcentral.